RNAcentral lists this transfer RNA (66 nucleotides) under Hymenolepis microstoma. RNAcentral describes it as "tRNA-Ala". Lineage: Eukaryota; Metazoa; Platyhelminthes; Cestoda; Cyclophyllidea; Hymenolepididae. The record is from RNAcentral.
AACGAAGUAGUUUAAAUAAAGAAUUCUAGGUUUGCGUCUUGGGGGUAAGAUAGUUCUUCUUUGUUG